This is a long non-coding RNA of Passer domesticus (house sparrow), 3517 nucleotides long. RefSeq lists it as uncharacterized. The record is from RefSeq and is a predicted model, not a curated record. NCBI's taxonomy places the organism in Eukaryota, Metazoa, Chordata, Aves, Passeriformes, Passeridae. The transcript is spliced from 2 exons.
GAGCAGCCUGGCAGGAGUGAGACGUCGAGCAGAGUGCCUUGUGAGCUGCCUGGGGAACCACACCCCCUACACUAGGAAUACUGCAAGUGCCCUUGACACCCAGCUUCCUCCACAAGAGGUCCCAAUAACCUCACAGGGAGCUGAGGAGAAGAGUCAGCUCAGGAGAACGGAUCCCCAAAGUCAUGGAGGAUGAAUUCCCUCUUCAGCAGACUGGUGAUCACUGCUCUGAUCCCUUACCAAGCAGUGAAGACACAAAGAAUGUCACCAGAAUUCACUCUGAGCAUCAUUACAAACCUUGCACGGCCCAUGCUGAGCCUGAUGCCACUAUCUCAGAGCUCUCUGCUGGUGAACUGCUGAAAUAGCCAGCCUCCCCUGGCAGUGAAGGCCUUCCAAAUGAAUGUGACAGGCAAGGUUCAGGCUUGGAAGCAGACCACGUAAUGCAAACACCACAAAGCUUUGCAUUCUGAAAAGGAGAUGAUGCCUCAGCGCUAAGCAGGGCACCCUGGCUGCCCCAACCACUACCCAGUUUGUAACAGCACAGUGUUUCCCAGCUCCUCCUCUCUCAUGAGCUUAUGCCAACCACAAAUUCUUUGGGAGGCUUGCUUGGACUUCUGCAGUUAAAUACUGGUUUCAUCUUUCUGAAAGCAGUUUGCAGACAGCAGCAAAAUUAACGUGGGAGUAGCUGGCCCUGUUUAUACCAGCAACUGAUUAAUUACGUCCUCUUGAAGAAUAAAAGCAAUGGAAGUUGCCAUAUGCCAGGAAACUUGCCAUGAAUCACUGGAAUCGGGACUGGGGGAGUCACAGGACUGGCACAGCUAAAGCCAGUGGCUCAAGAUGGCCCCAAGAUGACAGUGCACUGUGCAGGUACAGCUGAGGGGCCCAUCAGCACGGCUCCACAACGGGCUUCAUACAAGAUUAGGACAACUGCCUGCACUGCUGUGUUUUUUAAAAGCAAGCUGAUACCAAAGGGGUCAACUUGAAGAAAACAAAAAAAAAAAAAGACCUAAUAACUACUGUGAACUAUGAGGAUUACCAUUAUAUAUUAUACAAUCCAAGAGGAUAGUCAUUCUAACACGCUGCGUCCAUUUUAAGCAUAGGAAAUUAAAUGGAAAAAUACUACAACAGUCCAGUUACAGACAACUGUGCAAUCUGGUAGAUCAAAUUACAUGUCCAGAGCUUAAGUUUUAGUUUUAUGAACUACCUUAUGGACAGCUGAACACCAAUAUACAGAAAUAUCAACAACAGCAGACAUCUGAGAUCCUGAUGAUAUAAAUGGUUAAAUUUUCACGAGACCAUUUUCAGAGAAAUUCAAGCCUACAGUUUUGCUCUCUGGAUGGUAAAACUACAGCUCUCCCUUACACAAAAAAGAUGAUGAAGCUUGAAGUACAGGCACCAUACAUAUUUUAUUGACACAGAUUUCUUCAGUUUUGACUGUAUUAAUUCAGCUGACAACAGUGUAAUAAUUUGAAAAAAGUUCUUCUCCUUGCUUGAUGUCUCUGAGAGUGACCAGAACUACGCACCUCAAGUGGCUGUAAAAGAAGAAGGAAAACGUGUCAAAGUGAACAGUUAUAUUUUUCUUUGAAUUGUUUCCAAUUCUUCAUUUCAAGAAGCUAACCAGUGGCCUCAUCCAGAUUAGUUUUGAGUAAUAUGCGUAAUGCAGGGCAGGGAACAUGGGAAAACAACACUGGAAUACAGACAGCAAUAUAAGGAAAACCAAUAUAAUUUAAAAACCAACAGCCUAUGUGGGUAUGAAAGAAGUGUUUCCACUCAUUUGUUCCACACAAUGAUUCAGAGAUGAAAAGAAUUAGUCAAGACUGCAAGAGACACACUUACUCAGACAGGAACAGAAGCUGCAGCAAAGUUCAUGCGGCAGAAGCCACUCCUGUGGACACACCUGUCCAGAGGCGCCAGCUGGCUAAAGCGUCUCUCCUAAGGCCUGCCACCACGCAGGAAGACGGCUCCCAGCUGCACCAGAGACCCGCUGCCAUCUGCAGAUGGUCAGCUGUCACACAAUCACGAGGUUGGAAAAGACCUUUAAGACCACUGAGUCCAAUCCAUGUCCGAACACCUCAACUGAAGGAUGGCCCCACGUGCCACAUCCAGUCUUUGUUUAAAAACAUCCAGGGAUGGUGACUCCACUACCUCCCUGGGCAAACUAUUCCAGUACCAUUCCAUUUAUCACUCCUCCUGUGAAAAACUUUUUCCUAACAUCCAACCUAUAUUUCCCUUGGUGCAGCUUAGGUGUGUCCUCUAUUUCUGUCAGCUGCUGCCUGGUGAAAGAGACCAACCCCCACCUGGCCACAGCCACCUCUCAGGAACUUGUAGACAAGUGAUAAAGUCACUCCUGAGUCUCCUUUUCUCCAGGAUAAACACCCCCAGCUCCCUCAGUCAGCUGAAAUCAGGGGCUGGCAGCCAGUUCCUCACAGAGAAAUGUAGAAACCCACCUCUCUGAGCUUCCUUUUAGUGAAUGACCAUGCCCUAAAACUGAAGUAUGUAUUCCGGGAAGGAGAGCACAUGUUUUGCGUACUGAUGAACCAGGAAGUGGAAAACAGCGUCACUAUUCAAAAUUUAGGUGAGGCCAUUUUGAAACAUAUUGAAACAACAAGGUAAAUAAGUACUGAGAACUGUUUCAUAAGACAUAAAAAUAUCUAGAAACCAGAUAAUCUAUGUUGUCAGCAUGGUAUACAUCAGUAUUGAAACAAGCACCUACAAGCAGAUGAAGGGGAUCUUUUGUCUGGUGGCAGCACACUGGGAGAAAUGAUGACCAGAAGAUUGUAUUUUUUGGACAGAUUCCAAGCAAGAGCAAAAUUCCCGCUUCCUGAAACAGUCCUUUAGUUUAUGUGCUUUCACACGUCAAGUACAGUAUCCAGGCUUCCUGAGAAUUUUGUCUUACUGCUUAUUUUAUUAGCACUUAUUUAAUUAUCUAGAGAUUCCAAGUGCAUCUUUAACCUUCACUUCAACAAACUCUAAGUUUAAUCAGAAAAGCCGUUUUUCCAGUAUGCACCACUACUUUCUCCAGUGUCAAAGAGUAUUUAAGUUACUCCAGAAUUACACUAGAAGUUCAGAUGAUCUAUUCUAAAAUUCUUAUACAUCCUUGAAAUAAAGAUAAAAGGAUUAUCUGAGAAAUAUUUCCAAGUAUUCUAAUUUCUGAAAAAAGGUGCACUUUCAAGUCAUGAACAGGAUGCUGUAAUUUUACUAAUUGUACUGUAACUAUAUGCCCUUAUAUUGCACAGUAUUUCACAUUGUAUUGUCUCAAUGCAAUGUUAGGUUUCUUCUUGCAAAUUCAUCUGCUUAUUUGUCACAUAAGCAAAAGAGAUGGAGAACAGAGAGUAAGAAGCCUAAAUUUGAAUUAUCUCAGAAGGGCUUUGGUCAAGGCUGAAACAGACUUGAGAUAUGUACUGAAAAGCCUCAGUACUGUAAUACAAAGUACAAGUACUGCUUUAUGGGAUUCAGUAGAAUUGCACUGUAGUGCAACACUGCUUGUAAAAGUAUGUCUUCAGAUACGCUGAUUUCAUGU